This 402-nucleotide unclassified non-coding RNA is filed under the name soil metagenome. RNAcentral describes it as "partial contains 5.8S ribosomal RNA, internal transcribed spacer 2, and large subunit ribosomal RNA". The stretch from base 1 to 121 matches the Rfam family "5.8S ribosomal RNA", at positions 35 to 154 of the family's 154-position model. The record is from RNAcentral.
GAUGAAGAACGCAGCGAAAUGCGAUAAGUAAUGUGAAUUGCAGAAUUCAGUGAAUCAUCGAAUCUUUGAACGCACCUUGCGCCCUUUGGCUAUUCCGAAGGGCAUGCCUGUUUGAGUAUCAUGAACACCUCAACUCUCAUGGUUCGCCAUGAUGAGCUUGGACUCUGGGGGUCUUGCUGGCCUAUGGUCAGCUCCUCUCAAAUAAAUCAGCUUGCCAGUGUUUGGUGGCAUCACAGGUGUGAUAACUAUCUACGCUUGUGGUUUUCCAUCAGGUAACCUUCAGUGAUGGAGGUUCGCUGGAGCUCAUAAAUGUCCCUCCUCAGCGAGGACAGCUUUUUGAACGUUUGAUCUCAAAUCAGGUAGGACUACCCGCUGAACUUAAGCAUAUCAAUAAGCGGAGGA